GACGAACGCUGGCGGCGUGCCUAAUACAUGCAAGUAGAACGCUGAAGGAGGAGCUUGCUUCUCCGGAUGAGUUGCGAACGGGUGAGUAACGCGUAGGUAACCUGCCUGGUAGCGGGGGAUAACUAUUGGAAACGAUAGCUAAUACCGCAUAAGAGUAGAUGUCGCAUGACAUUUGCUUAAAAGGUGCAACUGCACCACUACCAGAUGGACCUGCGUUGUAUUAGCUAGUGGGUGAGGUAACGGCUCACCAAGGCAACGAGACAUAGCCGACCGGAGAGGGGGAUCGGCCACACUGGGACUGUGACACGGCCCAGACUCCCUCGGGAGGCAGCAGUAGGGAAUCUUCGGUAAUGGGCGGAAGUCUGACCGAGCAACGCCGCGUGAGUGAAGAAGGUUUUCGGAUCGUAAAGCUCUGUUGUAAGAGAAGAACGAGUGUGAGAGUGGAAAGUUCACACUGUGACGGUAUCUUACCAGAAAGGGACGGCUAACUACGUG
RNAcentral lists this ribosomal RNA (495 nucleotides) under uncultured bacterium. RNAcentral describes it as "partial 16S ribosomal RNA". It matches the Rfam family "Bacterial small subunit ribosomal RNA", at positions 28 to 507 of the family's 1533-position model. The record is from RNAcentral.